Molecule: long non-coding RNA, 676 nt
Organism: Nilaparvata lugens (brown planthopper)
Lineage: Eukaryota; Metazoa; Arthropoda; Insecta; Hemiptera; Delphacidae
Exons: 3
Source: RefSeq, a predicted model, not a curated record
CCCAGAUCGUUAUCAGAUUCAUUUUCUCACCUCUCAACUCGAGUUCCGAACCUCAUAACCAGUUGAGCUCUCGUCGAGACAACACAGCUGAGAGGAAUCAUAGGGUGGUCACCUGAGAGGAAUCAAUCAUAGCAUAAUCAUCUACACCUGUAUCCUGCUAUCUACACCUGUAGCCUGCUAUCUACACUCGAGGAGAUUCACGCACCAUCAAGCACUACAUUAUCAUGCCGAGGGAACGCAGACUUCGUGGGAUCAAUUCCGCAGCAGUCCGUCAUCGCAUCAGCCUCGAUGAGGAGGAUAUCGACAUCACCAGCGUGCUCGAGAGCUCGAAACGUCGAGUUUUCGAUAUAAUUAGGGAACAUGCCGCACGCUAUGAUGGCAAUGUUAAAUGGUUCAUCGUCCUCAACGUUUUGCUGUAUAAAUUAGUGGUGAUGGAUGACAAGCAGGUUGGUGACUCUGUCUCAUCUCUAAUAAAUCUACAUAGUUACUCCAACAUAGCACUAAAUGUGCUUGAGAACUAUGAAGAGUUUAAUGAGCAUUUCAUGUUAGCCGUGAGAAAAAUUCUCUCAUCUUUUGAAAAUUUUGUAAGAUAUGGGAGUGGAUGGGUGCUAAAGAAAAUUGAAUCACUGGAUGUGAACGUGAUUAAAUUUAAUCCUAUAUACACAUCCAGUUUCAU